UCGAGGAUCUUCGUCAAUGGGCGCAAGCCUGAACGAGCGACGCCGCGUGCGCGAUGAAGGCCUUCGGGUUGUAAAGCGCGAAAGUGGGGAUAAAGCCGAAAGGUUGAUAGAUCCACAGUAAGGACGGGCUAAGUUCGUGCCAGCAGCCGCGGUAAGACGAACUGUCCUAACGUUGUUCGGAAUCACUGGGCUUAAAGGGCGCGUAGGCGGUCCGACAAGUCAGGGGUGAAAUCCUGCAGCUUAACUGCAGAAGUGCCUCUGAUACUGUCGGUCUGGAGGGAGAUAGGGGUGUGCGGAACUUCCAGUGGAGCGGUGAAAUGCGUUGAUAUUGGAAGGAACGCCGGAGGCGAAAGCGGCGCACUGGAUCUCUUCUGACGCUGAGGCGCGAAAGCUAGGGGAGCAAACG
This 406-nucleotide ribosomal RNA is filed under the name uncultured bacterium. Its description in RNAcentral is "bacterial SSU rRNA". It matches the Rfam family "Bacterial small subunit ribosomal RNA", at positions 355 to 774 of the family's 1533-position model. The record is from RNAcentral.